Molecule: ribosomal RNA, 442 nt
Filed under: uncultured bacterium
Lineage: Bacteria
Description: partial 16S ribosomal RNA
Rfam family: Bacterial small subunit ribosomal RNA
Source: RNAcentral
ACUACGGGUGGCAGCAGUAGGGAAUCUUUCACAAUGGGCGAAAGCCUGAUGGAGCAACGCCGCGUGCAGGAUGAAGGCCUUCGGGUUGUAAACUGCUUUUAUAAGCGAGAAAUAUGAUGGUAACUUAUGAAUAAGGAUCGGCUAACUACGUGCCAGCAGCCGCGGUCAUACGUAGGAUCCGAGCAUUAUCCGGAGUGACUGGGUGUAAAGAGUUGCGUAGGUGGCAUAAUAAGUAGCUAGUGAAAUCUGUUGGCUCAACCAUUCAGACUAUUAGCUAAACUGUUAAGCUCGAGACCGUUAGGGGUAACUGGAAUUUCUAGUGUAGGAGUGAAAUCCGUAGAUAUUAGAAGGAACACCAAUAGCGUAGGCAGGUUACUGGGACGGUUCUGACACUAAGGCACGAAAGCGUAGGGAGCAAACGGGAUUAGAUACCCGUGUAGUC